Long non-coding RNA from Hibiscus syriacus, 524 nucleotides. RefSeq lists it as uncharacterized. The record is from RefSeq and is a predicted model, not a curated record. Lineage: Eukaryota; Viridiplantae; Streptophyta; Magnoliopsida; Malvales; Malvaceae. The transcript has 2 exons.
CAUUUGUCUCAGUUUCAAACCGAGGGAGAAGAGAGAGAGCUUCAAACGCUCUCAACUCUCUUCUCCACAGGGAGAAGAAGCAAUGGCCACAGGCGGAACUCACGGCAGAGUUCACGGUGGCCGGCGGUGGUCGGAGAGAGGAAAUCACCUCAAAAGUGUCCUCUCCUUACUCUCAUCUCGAAACCCGACUCCCCUUAGCCUAAAACAUCCCCUAAAGCCACAGAUCUAACUGUUUACCUUUCGAGAAAACAAGAAACCGGUGACCCUUCCUCCUCUCGCUGACUCCUCCGAUCAAGGAAACCCGUCACUAUUCGAUGGAUGCGGGUCACUGUUGGAUGGACUUUUGCAGGUCGGCUUGGUGGCUCGGUGGUAGCUGGAGCGUUGGAAUACCAAUCGGUGGACAUGCAUCCUGUCCCAUGAAAUUUCUGUAAUUCACAGUUAAUCGAACUAACUUACCAUCCCCGAAACAUCCAUAAAUAAAGCCAAUACUGCAGCUAGCAUACCAGCUGUCACUGUGCUCUUUA